Molecule: ribosomal RNA, 1345 nt
Filed under: Dorymyrmex brunneus
Lineage: Eukaryota; Metazoa; Arthropoda; Insecta; Hymenoptera; Formicidae
Description: 16S ribosomal RNA
Rfam family: Eukaryotic large subunit ribosomal RNA (bases 1084-1242)
Source: RNAcentral
ACAAUAAAUGUAAAAUGUGAAUUUUAGGAUGAUUAAUUAAUUUAUAAGCUAAAUAAAGUUAUAUGAAUAUUGAUUGUUUGAUAUAUAAAAUUAGAAAAUUUUUUUUAAUUAUAGAUAAAAGUAAUGUGAAUGAAUGGGUAUAUAAAAUAGGAUAAAAUUUUGAAAAGGAGGUUUAAUUGAGCGUUCCUUUUGUAUUAGGAUUUAUUAAAAAAAAAAUUAUAAAAUAUAAUUAUCUCGAAUUUAUAAGAAUUAAUUAUUUAUGAAAGUUAUUGUAAUAUUAAUAUUUUUAAUAAAUAGUUAGAGGGGAAAUCUUAUUCAAUUAUAAGGAUAUCUAGUUUUUAUUGAAUUAAAUUUAAUUUAGAUAAAUUAGGGUAAUUUUAUUAAUUUGAAAGAUAAAUUUAUUAAAUUUAUAAAAUAUUUAUGGGAUAAACUAUAGAUAGGGUAAAAUUUAUUAGUUAAGAAUCAUUAGGUUGAUAUAGUUUUAAAAUUUAAUUUUUUAAGAAAAAAUUUAAUAAUUUAUAAUUAGGAUGAGUAUAAAAAUUUAAAUUAAAAAAAUUUAGGAUUUAGGUAAAUAUUUUUAUUAAUAUAAAUUAUAAGGUAAUAAUGAUAAAAUUAAUAUAAAUUUAGAUGUAAGAUAUAAAAUAUAUAGUGAUAAAUAAGUUAUAGUAAUUAGGCAAAUUUAAUAAAUUCAACUGUUUAAUAAAAACAUAGUUUUUUGAUUAUAAUAUAAGAUUAGUUCUGCUCCAUGAAUAAAUUAAAUAGCUGCAGUAAAUUGACUGUACUAAGGUAGCAUAAUCAUUUGUCUUUUAAUUGAAGACUGGAAUGAAUGAAUAAAUGAGAUUUAUACUUUCUUUGACUUAAGAUUAAAAUUUAAAAUUUAAGUAAGAAUGCUUAAAUAAAUUUAGGGGACGAUAAGACCCUUUAGAAUUUUAUAUUUAUAAAUAUUUAAAAGUUAGUUUAGUAAAAUAAUUAUAAAUAUUUAAUUGGGAGGAUUGUUAAAUUAAUUUAACUUUAAUUAAUGUAAUACAUAAAUUAAUGAGUAGAGGAUUAAUAAAUAUUUAAUAAAGAAUUAAUUACCUAAGGGAUAACAGCGUAAUAUUUUUGGUGAGAUCAUAUUAAUAAAAAUGUUUGCGACCUCGAUGUUGAAUUAAGGUAUAAUUUAGGUGCAGAAGCUUAAAGUUUUAGUCUGUUCGACUAUUAAAGCCUUACAUGAUUUGAGUUUAGACCGAUGUAAGUCAGGUCAGUUUCUAUCUUUAAUAAGAAAAAUUAUAAUUGUACGAAAGGACUUUAUGAUUGAAAUAAUUUUAAAUAUAUUGGGAUAUAAUACUAUUAAUAGAAAAAAAAA